UACAGAGGAUGCAAGCGUUAUCCGGAAUGAUUGGGCGUAAAGCGUCUGUAGGUGGCUUUUUAAGUCCGCCGUCAAAUCCCAGGGCUCAACCCUGGACAGGCGGUGGAGACUGCAAGGCUAGAAUCUGGCAGAGGGGGGUAGAAUUCCACGUGUAGCAGUGAAAUGCGUAGAGAUGUGGAGGAACACCGAUGGCGAAGGCAGUGUCCUGGGAAGUACCUGACGCUCAGGUGCGAAAGCUAGGGGAGCGAACAGG
RNAcentral lists this ribosomal RNA (253 nucleotides) under uncultured bacterium. RNAcentral describes it as "partial 16S ribosomal RNA". It matches the Rfam family "Bacterial small subunit ribosomal RNA", at positions 524 to 776 of the family's 1533-position model. The record is from RNAcentral.